UUCUCCAAUCUAGAUUCAAUAAUGCAAUCUUGAAAUUAUUUUGGCUAUUUGGCUUUUUAUAUGCUCCCUUAUACUAACUCAUACUACUUUUACUUGAUAGUUUUUAAAGGUCAAUGUACCAUUAAAAUUAGAACGCUUUUCCUUAAAAUACAUAUUCAUACACUUACUCAAGGGAAGCAAUUUGUGUUUUUCUCAUUGGAGAAUAUUAUUCAUUUUGAAACAAGGUGUGGGUAUAUCGAGAAAACUUAAAAUAAAAGAGUUCACUUUCAUGUACAAGAAACAACCAACUGAGAGGAGACAAUAAAAUUUUUAUGCCAUGCUUUAUUUCAUUAAAAACAAGCUACUUAACCAUGCCUUUCACAAGAAAACAAAAACAAAAGAAUAAAGUUCAAGGGAG
Molecule: long non-coding RNA, 397 nt
Filed under: Medicago truncatula (barrel medic)
Lineage: Eukaryota; Viridiplantae; Streptophyta; Magnoliopsida; Fabales; Fabaceae
Description: long non-coding RNA (MTRU_LNC006766)
Source: RNAcentral